AGUUUGAUCAUGGCUCAGAUUGAACGCUGGCGGGAUGUUUUACAUGCAAGUCGAACGGCAGCAAUGGACUUCGGUCUGGUGGCGAGUGGCGAACGGGUGAGUAAUGUAUCGGAACGUGCCUAGUAGCGGGGAUAACUACGUGAGCGUAGCCAAUACCGCACGCCCUUCGGGGGAAAGCGGGGGACCUUCGGGCCUCGCACUAUUAGAGCGGCCGAUACUGAUUGGAAUAGUUGGUGGCAGGUAACGGCUCACCAAGGCGACGAUCCGUAGCCGCUCGAGGCAGGACGACCAGCCACUGGGACUGAGACACGGCCCAGACUCCUACGGGAGGCAAGGUGGGGAAUUUUGGACAAUGGGGGAAACCCCGAUCCAGCCAUCCCGGGCGUGUGCGAUGAAGGCCUUCGGGUUGUAAAGCACUUUUGGUAGAACAAACGGCAUCGACAAUACUCCGCAACUCGAGCCUGUACCUGCAGAAUAAGCACCGGCUAACCAUGUGCCAGCAGCCGCGGUAAUAUGUAGGGUGCAAGCGCUAAUCGGAAUUACUGGCGCAAGCGUGCGCAGGCGGUUCGAAAGAAAGAGGAACCUUAGAGCUUAACUUUGAACUGCAUUUUUAACUACCGGGAGCCAGAGUGCAACAGGAGGUGGAAUCGCGGCAGAAAUGCGUAGAUAUGAGAACACCGAUGGCGAAGGUGCAGCCUCCUGGGAUAACACUGACGCUCAUGCACGAAAGCGUGGGGAGCAAACAGGAUUAGAUACCCUGGUGUCCACGCCCUAAACGAUGUCAAUUAGCUGUUGGGGCCUCGGGCCUUGGUAGCGCAUAAUCUGCAGAAGUUGACCGCCUGGGAGUACGGUCGCAAAAAGAUUAAACCCGCUGAACUGAUUGACCCGCAAUAAGCGGUGGAUGAUGUGAUUAAUUCGGAUGUAACGCGUGAAAAACCUUACCUGCCUGACAUGUCUGAAUCCCGAAGGAGAUUUGGGAGUGCUCGCAAGAGAACCGGAACACAGGUGCUGCAUGGCUGUCGUCACCGCGUCGUGAGAUGUUGGGUUAAGUCCCGCAACGAGAGCGCAACCUUGUCAGCUGGGUUGCUGCUGAGAAGCGCACCACGAGACUGCCGGUGACAAACCGGUGAAGGUGGAUGACGUCAAGUUCAUGGCCCUUAUGGGUAGGGCUUGUUAUCAUACAGCAAUGGUCGGGACAGGGUCGCCAACCCGCGAGGGGGAGCCGGUCCGUGAAACCCGAUCGUAGUCCGGAUCGCAGUCUGCAACCUGACUGCGUGUCGGAACGCCACAAUCGCGGAUCAGCAUGUCGCGGUGAAUGAGCAAGUCCUGGCCUUGUACACACCGCCCGUCACACCAUGGGGAGUGGGUUUUACCAGAAGCGCAGUUAGCCCAACCGCGAGUGGGCGAUUACCGUUACGGUAGGAUUCAUGACUGGGUGAAGUCGUAACAAGGU
This 1453-nucleotide ribosomal RNA is filed under the name uncultured Bordetella sp. Its description in RNAcentral is "partial 16S-23S ribosomal RNA intergenic spacer". It matches the Rfam family "Bacterial small subunit ribosomal RNA". Lineage: Bacteria; Pseudomonadati; Pseudomonadota; Betaproteobacteria; Burkholderiales; Alcaligenaceae. The record is from RNAcentral.